AGGUGGCUUAGUGGAUAAAGCAUUGGACUGUCGAUCAUGAGGUUCUGGGUUCUAUCCCCAGUCU
Molecule: transfer RNA, 64 nt
Filed under: Erinaceus europaeus (western European hedgehog)
Lineage: Eukaryota; Metazoa; Chordata; Mammalia; Eulipotyphla; Erinaceidae
Rfam family: tRNA
About the family: Transfer RNA (tRNA) molecules are approximately 80 nucleotides in length.
Source: Rfam by way of RNAcentral